AGGCCCUCUCUCCCUUGUCCACAUAGACACAAAUCACAAGCUAAUAAGGUACAAUGUUGUGAUCUUUGGUGGAGUGGAUGGCUACUCAAGGAAGGUCCUGUACUUGGAUGCAGCAACUAACAACAGGGCAAAAACUGCAUUCUCAUUUUUCCUGAGAUCAGCCCAGCUUCACGGCUUGCCAUCAAG
Molecule: long non-coding RNA, 186 nt
Organism: Polypterus senegalus (gray bichir)
Lineage: Eukaryota; Metazoa; Chordata; Cladistia; Polypteriformes; Polypteridae
Exons: 3
Source: RefSeq, a predicted model, not a curated record